Molecule: ribosomal RNA, 276 nt
Filed under: Triticum aestivum (bread wheat)
Lineage: Eukaryota; Viridiplantae; Streptophyta; Magnoliopsida; Poales; Poaceae
Description: partial small subunit ribosomal RNA
Source: RNAcentral
AUGGGUUGUAGUGUGCAGUACUACUACCUGGUACUAUUUUUUUUCAUUUUCGCUGGGAGGCAACCGCCCAGGUUCGCCCCUGUGAAGCUCUGCCGUUGCAUGCUAGUACUCUGGAUACUAUGUCAACUAGAUUUUUGCUUGUUUGUGUGGGCAAAGCAACCAAAGUUGUUGAUAGGUACCGAUGAAUGUUUAAAGGCUACAUUGGUGUUUCUAGCUUGGAGAAGCAACAUCAACUUGGGAUACAGAUUCACCAGCAUAUGUACAUGCAUCUCAUAG